RNAcentral lists this ribosomal RNA (847 nucleotides) under Staphylococcus aureus. Its description in RNAcentral is "bacterial SSU rRNA". It matches the Rfam family "Bacterial small subunit ribosomal RNA", at positions 1 to 830 of the family's 1533-position model. The record is from RNAcentral. Lineage: Bacteria; Bacillati; Bacillota; Bacilli; Caryophanales; Staphylococcaceae.
UUUAUGGAGAGUUUGAUCCUGGCUCAGGAUGAACGCUGGCGGCGUGCCUAAUACAUGCAAGUCGAGCGAACGGACGAGAAGCUUGCUUCUCUGAUGUUAGCGGCGGACGGGUGAGUAACACGUGGAUAACCUACCUAUAAGACUGGGAUAACUUCGGGAAACCGGAGCUAAUACCGGAUAAUAUUUUGAACCGCAUGGUUCAAAAGUGAAAGACGGUCUUGCUGUCACUUAUAGAUGGAUCCGCGCUGCAUUAGCUAGUUGGUAAGGUAACGGCUUACCAAGGCAACGAUGCAUAGCCGACCUGAGAGGGUGAUCGGCCACACUGGAACUGAGACACGGUCCAGACUCCUACGGGAGGCAGCAGUAGGGAAUCUUCCGCAAUGGGCGAAAGCCUGACGGAGCAACGCCGCGUGAGUGAUGAAGGUCUUCGGAUCGUAAAACUCUGUUAUUAGGGAAGAACAUAUGUGUAAGUAACUGUGCACAUCUUGACGGUACCUAAUCAGAAAGCCACGGCUAACUACGUGCCAGCAGCCGCGGUAAUACGUAGGUGGCAAGCGUUAUCCGGAAUUAUUGGGCGUAAAGCGCGCGUAGGCGGUUUUUUAAGUCUGAUGUGAAAGCCCACGGCUCAACCGUGGAGGGUCAUUGGAAACUGGAAAACUUGAGUGCAGAAGAGGAAAGUGGAAUUCCAUGUGUAGCGGUGAAAUGCGCAGAGAUAUGGAGGAACACCAGUGGCGAAGGCGACUUUCUGGUCUGUAACUGACGCUGAUGUGCGAAAGCGUGGGGAUCAAACAGGAUUAGAUACCCUGGUAGUCCACGCCGUAAACGAUGAGUGCUAAGUGUUAGGGGG